UCUUCUGGCCUGCAAGCUGACAU
This 23-nucleotide non-coding RNA is filed under the name Cricetulus griseus (Chinese hamster). Lineage: Eukaryota; Metazoa; Chordata; Mammalia; Rodentia; Cricetidae. The record is from RNAcentral.